UACGAAAGGUGCAAGCGUUACUCGGAAUCACUGGGCGUAAAGCGCACGUAGGCGGACUUACAGGUCAAUUGUGAAAUACCUGGGCUCAACCCAGGAACUGCAGUUGAAACCGUUUGUCUUGAAUACUUGAGAGGGUGGGGGAAUACCUGGUGGAGAAGUGAAAUUCGUAGAGAUCAGGUGGAGCACCGGAGGCGAAGGCGCCUGCCUGGCAAUGUAUUGACGCUGAGGUGCGAAAGUGCGGGGAGCAAACAGG
RNAcentral lists this ribosomal RNA (253 nucleotides) under uncultured bacterium. Its description in RNAcentral is "partial 16S ribosomal RNA". It matches the Rfam family "Bacterial small subunit ribosomal RNA", at positions 524 to 776 of the family's 1533-position model. The record is from RNAcentral.